Microcebus murinus (gray mouse lemur) is the source of this 235-nucleotide non-coding RNA. The record is from RefSeq and is a predicted model, not a curated record. Lineage: Eukaryota; Metazoa; Chordata; Mammalia; Primates; Cheirogaleidae.
UUGCAGAGCUGGAACGCAUGCAACAGUAUGUGACAGAUGUAAGACAACUACAAAAACGCAUUCAGGAAUCUGAAGAAGCAGUUCAGUUUAUUAAUAAGGAAGAAGAACUUUUCAAAUGGGAAUUGACAAAAUAUCCUGAACUGGAUAAAUUAAAAGUUAAUAUUGAGCCCUAUCAGAAGUUUUUUAAUUUUGUUUUGAAGUGGCAACGAUCAGAAAAACGGUGGAUGGAUGGAGG